RNAcentral lists this transfer RNA (76 nucleotides) under Phocaeicola vulgatus. RNAcentral describes it as "tRNA-Ala". It matches the Rfam family "tRNA". From Rfam's summary of the family: Transfer RNA (tRNA) molecules are approximately 80 nucleotides in length. RNAcentral also lists the same sequence under 31 other names. The record is from RNAcentral. Lineage: Bacteria; Pseudomonadati; Bacteroidota; Bacteroidia; Bacteroidales; Bacteroidaceae.
GGGGGUGUAGCUCAGCUGGGAGAGCACCUGCUUUGCAAGCAGGGGGUCAGGAGUUCGAUUCUCCUCAUCUCCACCA